This 540-nucleotide ribosomal RNA is filed under the name Lentinula edodes (shiitake mushroom). RNAcentral's name for it is "eukaryotic LSU rRNA". It matches the Rfam family "Eukaryotic large subunit ribosomal RNA", at positions 1 to 604 of the family's 3401-position model. The record is from RNAcentral. Lineage: Eukaryota; Fungi; Basidiomycota; Agaricomycetes; Agaricales; Omphalotaceae.
GAGGGAUAACUCAUCGCGAGCGCGCUAUAGUGUAGCAGCACAAAGCUCAAAUUUAAAAUCUGGCAGUCUCUGAUUGUCCGAGUUGUAAUUUAGAGAAGUGUUACCCGUGUUGGACCGUGUACAAGUCUCCUGGAAUGGAGCGUCAUAGAGGGUGAGAAUCCCGUCUUUGAUACGGAUCCCAAUACAUUGUGGUACACUCUCGAAGAGUCGAGUUGUUUGGGAAUGCAGCUCUAAAUGGGUGGUAAAUUCCAUCUAAAGCUAAAUAUUGGGGAGAGACCGAUAGCGAACAAGUACCGUGAGGGAAAGAUGAAAAGAACUUUGGAAAGAGAGUUAAACAGUACGUGAAAUUGCUGAAAGGGAAACGCUUGAAGUCAGUCGCGUUGGUCGGGGAUCAGCCUUCCUUAUGGUUGGUGCAUUUCCUGAUCAACGGGUCAACAUCAGUUUUGAUCAAUGGAUAAAAGUUUGAGGGAUGUGGCAUCUUCGGGUGUGUUAUAACCUCUUGCUAUAUACAUUGAUUGGGACAUGAGGAACUACAGCAUC